CCACCUGUGUGAGACGCCAGCGUCAUGCUGCUGCAGUUGUUGCUGGCAUUUAAUAAACAAGCUAAUAAACUCGUUAUCAGUUUGACGACUUUAUGUGGGUAUUAAUGGAGUUUGGAGCCCCUUGCCGCCGCCAGUCAACGACUCUGCCCGUUUGCCGCUACUCUUCACCGGCCAUUGGUCGCAACACCUGUCGGCCUAGGAUGGGGACGUUUACCUGAUGGAGCUGCGGAUGCUAGCUAGUAGCUACGACUUUUCACUCUCACUUCAACCAACACUCGCCAAGGAAGGAAGCAGUUUCGUGGUAUCAGAUGGUUAGUUAUACCCUUUUGAUUCCCAGGGAUCUGAUUGGUGCAACUCUGCCCUGCACCCUGGGAAGUGGCGAGUGGUCCAUUGUCCUUAUAGAUGAGUUGGUUCCUGAACAGCAUGACCUCAUUCCCUCUCUGGGGAGAGGUCCCGAAGCACAACGGCGGGGUGUUGAAAACACACCCUACUAAGCUUGAUGUGUAAUAAUGGGUGGAGAGAUCGUAAAUGACAUAAUUUAACAUAUCCUUCAAAGGGCUGUUUGGUGUUUCAGCUUCCUGUCGCUGCCUGUAGACAAUGUGAAGACUGACAGAUGAGGACUGUAGCAGGAGGACACACAGAUGAUUCUGCUGCCGGAUUUUUAAAGCACAUCGAUUGCGCCAGCGUUAAAGAUCGCAGCCAAUGAGGUGUCGAGCAGGCCGACAUGCAGCUUCACUGAGUGGAAAGGGAGGCGAGUGCAGAACAUUAUCAACUCUGGCCCCAGGGACUGGGUCAUUGACCUGCUGUGCCAUCUCCCAGGGGUUAAACCUGUUCAGGAGCUCCCAGGACGACGAGCAGUAUGCGCUGCUGUGGGCACGUGCUGGCAACGUAAGCAACUUUCAGACACGCACUGGACAAGUUACAUGCUGGCUUCAUGUUUAAAGAAGCCAACAAGUCACUUUUCAAUAUUCUGAAAUAGGAUUUAACAGUCCAUCCAGGAUUUCGAGGCCUUUUGUUGAGAUUGUUGUAGCCCAAAAUGCCUAAUUUUGCGGGAGGUUUUGUAAAUAAAUUGCAAUAAAAGUUG
Long non-coding RNA from Perca fluviatilis (European perch), 1084 nucleotides. RefSeq lists it as uncharacterized. The transcript is spliced from 2 exons. NCBI's taxonomy places the organism in Eukaryota, Metazoa, Chordata, Actinopteri, Perciformes, Percidae. The record is from RefSeq and is a predicted model, not a curated record.